CCUACGGGAGGCAGCAGUGGGGAAUAUUGCACAAUGGGGGAAACCCUGAUGCAGCGCCGCCGCGUGAGUGAAGAAGUAUUUCGGUAUGUAAAGCUUUAUCAGCAGGGAAGAAAAUGACGGUACCUGAUUAAGAAGCCCCGGCUAACUACGUGCCAGCAGCCGCGGUAAUACGGAGGGGGCAAGCGUUAUCCGGAUUUACUUGGUGUAAAGGGCGCGUAGACGGGAGGGCAAGUCUGGAGUGAAAUGCCGGGGCUUAACCCCGGAACUGCUUUGGAAACUGUGUAGCUAGAGUUUAGGAGAGGUAAGUGGAAUUCCUGGUGUAGGGGUGAAAUGCGUAGAGAUUAAGAGGAACACUCGUGGCGAAGGCGGCGUACUGGACUAUAACUGACGUUGAUGCGCGAAAGCGUGGGGAGCAAACAGGAUUAGAUACCCCAGUAGUC
This 440-nucleotide ribosomal RNA is filed under the name uncultured bacterium. Its description in RNAcentral is "partial 16S ribosomal RNA". It matches the Rfam family "Bacterial small subunit ribosomal RNA", at positions 338 to 795 of the family's 1533-position model. The record is from RNAcentral.